This 1453-nucleotide long non-coding RNA is filed under the name Equus caballus (horse). RNAcentral's name for it is "lncRNA (ENSECAG00000040848.2)". Lineage: Eukaryota; Metazoa; Chordata; Mammalia; Perissodactyla; Equidae. The record is from RNAcentral.
UGUCAAUCAAGCCAUAAACAAACUAGAAAAUAAAUAAAUAACAAUCUUAAAAUCCUAAAUCUUCUUACUCCACAAGCUUGAAAUUUUGGCAACUCCAGGAAAUUCAGUGAAACUCUCAAGGUGCUGAAGAUUACCGAAAAAGGAUUGUCAUCAGAGCCAUCACACAGGUAGUCAUUGUCCCUGAUGCUCCCCUGACUGGAAUUGCUCCUGAUGAAAUGCAAGCUCAUCCACCCUGUGUGACUAAAGGUAUUAAAAGCUAUGAAGAAUAUGGACAGGGAUGCCAACACAGCAUGGCUUGAUGAGCAGCGUGCAGAUCCACGCCCAGGAUCUGAGCUCACGAACCCUGGGCUGCCAAAGAGGAGCACAGGAACUUAACCACUAUGGAACCGGGCUGGCCCUGAAAAGUUCUAACAUACAUGAAACUUGAGUUCAGAGAAGAGUGGCCUAUGAAAACAACUUGAAAGUAGCUAAUGAAGAUACUCAGAGGCCAGUUGAGCUGAAAGUCUUCCCAAGAAAACAGCCCUAUAUUCCAAAUGCUUUAGCUAUAUCCUCUAUCACCAAGAUGACCAAGGACAUGAACCAAAUGCAACAUACACAAAAACAAAUAAGCAAUGAAGUUUAUGAGAAAAGAAGGUUGAAGAACAAUACACCUUUUCUACCACAGCAAUGCUAUUCUGCAGGGUGGGAUGCGUUCCUCUGGAAGGAUACAGCCAGAAUUGCCCCUCGUUGCCUCAGAAAGUUUUGGAAUUGGAAGUGUGGGGGCGUUUAGGCCCUGAGGAAGUCUGGGUGGUGGGCCACGUCCCCACGCCUCAGCUGACCCUAACGAAAAUGGGGAGCAGUCCACCCUUCCCCUUCCUCUACCUUUCCUGGAGCAGAAGGGAGGAGAGAACUCGCAGCUCUGAAAAGGACCAGAGAUAGGAAUAUUUUCCUGAAAACCGUAACUUACCUUCAUUUAGAAAACGUUGCUGAUUCCUGAGUAUCUCACAGUUGCUGGCUGGAUGCAGUUCCUCAAGGCCUGUUGGACUGAGAGCCUCAAUUCCUGGAUGGCUGUUGGCUGGAGUUGGCUGGAGGCAACCUUCAGUUCCUUGUCAUGUAGGCCUUGAGGAACUGCAUCCAGCCAGCAACUGUAGAAGUGAUCGAAGAAGUGUGUAUUUCCCCAGUCAAGCCUUCAGAUGAGACCCCAGCCCCAGCUGACACCUUAAUUGCAGCCUUGUGAGAGACCUUGGAGCAGAGAACCCAGGUAGGCCUUGCCUACAUUCCUCACCAACAGAAACUAUGAAUUAAUAAAUACUUGGUUUUUUAAGCCACUAACUUUUGGGGUAUUUGUUAUAUAGUAACUAACACACCCCUAAAUUACUGUAACCUUGGUGUAAGAUGCAGCAUGGCUGGGAAGGCAGGCAGCAGAUGAGAGGACAACCUCCUUGACAACAUUCCUGGAGAUACUGUCUUCAAU